Molecule: ribosomal RNA, 482 nt
Filed under: uncultured bacterium
Lineage: Bacteria
Description: partial 16S ribosomal RNA
Rfam family: Bacterial small subunit ribosomal RNA
Source: RNAcentral
AUUGAACGCUGGCGGCAUGCUUUACACAUGCAAGUCGAACGGUAACAGGCCGCCAGGUGCUGACGAGUGGCGAACGGGUGCGUAAUGCAUCGGAACGUGCCCAGUCGUGGGGGAUAACUACUCGCAAGAGUAGCUAAUACCGCAUACGAUCUAUGGAUGAAAGCGGGGGACCGUAAGGCCUCGCGCGAUUGGAGCGGCCGAUGUCAGAUUAGGUAGUUGGUGGGGUAAAGGCUCACCAAGCCAACGAUCUGUAGCUGGUCUGAGAGGAGGACCAGCCACACGGGAACUGGGACACGGCCCAGACUCCUGCGGGAGGCAGCAGUGGGGAAUUUUGGACAAUGGACGCAAGCCUGAUCCAGCAAUGCCGCGUGCAGGAAGAAGGCCUUCGGGUUGUAAACUGCUUUUGUACGGAACGAAACGGCUCUGGUUAAUACCCGGGGCUAAUGACGGUACCGUAAGAAUAAGCACCGGCUAACUACGUG